UGUCUUUCGGGAUAUGUUAGUGGCAGACGGGUGCGUAACACGUAGGUGACCUGCCCUGGAGUGGGGAACAACUAUCCUAACGGAUAGCUAAUACCGCAUAUGCUCGGUGAUUCAUUUUGCCGAGUAAAGUCGAAAGGCGCUUCAGGAUGGGCCUGCGGCGGAUUAGGUAGUUGGUGGGGUAACGGCCUACCAAGCCGAUGAUCCGUAGAGGGCGUGAGAGCGUGGCCCCCCACACUGGCACUGAGAUACGGGCCAGACUCCUACGGGAGGCAGCAGUGAGGAAUAUUGCGCAAUGGGCGAAAGCCUGAACCAGCCAUCCCGCGUGCAGGAAGACGGCGCUAUGCGUUGUAAACUGCUUUUCCAGGGAAAGAAAACCCCCGACGAGUCGGGGCUUGCCGGUACCCUGGGAAUAAGCAUCGGCUAACUCCGUGCCAGCAGCCGCGGUAAUACGGAGGAUGCGAGCGUUAUCCGGAUUUAUUGGGUUUAAAGGGUGCGUAGGCGGAUUAAUAAGUCAGUGGUGAAAACCUUCAGCUUAACUGGAGACUUGCCAUUGAUACUGUUAGUCUUGAGUACGGUCAAGGUAGGCGGAAUGUGUAAUGUAGCGGUGAAAUGCUUAGAUAUUACACAGAACACCGAUUGCGAAGGCAGCUUACUGGGCCAUUACUGACGCUGAUGCACGAAAGCGUGGGGAGCGAACAGGAUUAGAU
Molecule: ribosomal RNA, 707 nt
Filed under: uncultured Cytophaga sp.
Lineage: Bacteria; Pseudomonadati; Bacteroidota; Cytophagia; Cytophagales; Cytophagaceae
Description: bacterial SSU rRNA
Rfam family: Bacterial small subunit ribosomal RNA
Source: RNAcentral